Non-coding RNA from Gossypium hirsutum (cotton), 106 nucleotides. The record is from Rfam. Lineage: Eukaryota; Viridiplantae; Streptophyta; Magnoliopsida; Malvales; Malvaceae.
AAUCCGUGGUAUAGGCAUUCUUGAAUCAACAUUUUAAAAUGUUGCCAUGCUUCAUGAUAAAUUUCCCCUUCUAACUAUUUGAACAUCGAAAUUUCCCUUCUAAGCU